GUAGGAAACGAGCGUAGUUGAAGUAGCCCAACAAAAAUGGUUACCCGUCAGUAACACUAGUCAGAAAUGUCGAUUAACAAUUGAUCAGAACAGUAGAAACAACGAUUAGCAACUAACCAGAACAACAAAAACGUCAAUUAACAACCGACCAAAACAACAGAGAUUACUUAAAUGUGAGACCAUGUGAGUGCAACAUACAUGAAUCUUCA
Molecule: unclassified non-coding RNA, 209 nt
Filed under: Hevea brasiliensis (rubber tree)
Lineage: Eukaryota; Viridiplantae; Streptophyta; Magnoliopsida; Malpighiales; Euphorbiaceae
Source: RNAcentral